This is a long non-coding RNA of Bubalus bubalis (water buffalo), 465 nucleotides long. RefSeq lists it as uncharacterized. Lineage: Eukaryota; Metazoa; Chordata; Mammalia; Artiodactyla; Bovidae. The transcript is spliced from 3 exons. The record is from RefSeq and is a predicted model, not a curated record.
UUUGAGCAAGCUCUGGGGGUUGGUGAUAGACAGGAAGCCUGGCGUGCUGCAGUCCAUGGGGUCACAAAGAGUUGGACAUGACUGAGCGACUGAACUGACUGGACUGAUGGAGUGGAGAUGUCCCCUCUGACCUUUCUACCCCUCUUUUGUUCUUCAACAGAAAGAUUCCACAAAGGCAGCUGGGAAGAUUACACAAAGCAGAGCUGACUUGAGUUUCCAGUCUGGCAUCUGUGCUUCCCAAACAGUCACCCUUAUGCCAUCUGGUCCUCUGCCCUAUUGAAACCAGAUCUCAGUUUCCUUUCUCAGCCCCUCCGUGCACGUUCUCGGGACCUGAUCGACUCUGCUGGCUGGCACCGGCAAGGUGCCGUAUCCAUGGUGCCUGAAGACAGCUCAGCACAGCCAGCUGCGUGUAGAGUGAUAGCCUCCCUAAGCUGGUUCUACAGGAAGCAUUCACGUGCUCUGAGA